UCCUGGUGGUCUAGGCCAGUAAAGGGGUUGUCCCACCAUUAGCACUUAUCCCCUCUCUUCAGGAGAUUGCAGGGGUCUGAUUGCAUGAUAUUGAGAAUGGGGGUCCAGUGUCCACCCCAGGAAUGGAGCAGCAGUCACAUGUAAGGACUGCCAAAUAUAGCCAAGGACAGCACUCGGCUAUCUCCACCAGGACUAUGGAUAGUGAAUGGAGCGGCAACACGCAAGUGUGACUGCUGCUUCAUUCCCAAAAAAAGACUCUGAGAUCAUAGGGGGCCAUAAUGUAGCUCUCCAUGUAAUUGUCUUUUUUUUUUUCCAGGAAUGUCUUCCUCAAGUUUAGGCCGAUUUAGGUCUUGAAAAAUGUCCUUCGAAGUCUCAAAAGGAGUUCCCCCCAUUAUGGAUCCGUUUUUGAAGAGCAGGGCAGUACUAAAAUUACAGGUGUGCAGCCUGACGAAGCGCCAAGUGGCUUGAUAUGGUCCGUGGCCAGCGUCUGAGCUCCCCCGGUACCAUCUACCGGCUCCCUGCCGUGAUGUGACAUCACAUCGUUUAGAGUCUGCCAGCAUGGACGAAGAUUGGGGGCAGCCAUUUUGCCAGAACUGUUUUCUAACAACAUUUAGUGAUAUGCUUUACAGCAAGACCCGUGGACCAUAUACGACAAUGGACAGGAGCUGUCCCAUUCAGAUGAAUUGUGACCUUUUCAGAGGUCAUUCUACAGGGAGGGGUUAAGAUGAUCUUUUCUGUGAAUGGUGGUGGAUCCAGCGUUAUCUAUA
This is a long non-coding RNA of Hyla sarda, 767 nucleotides long. RefSeq lists it as uncharacterized. NCBI's taxonomy places the organism in Eukaryota, Metazoa, Chordata, Amphibia, Anura, Hylidae. The record is from RefSeq and is a predicted model, not a curated record. The transcript is spliced from 3 exons.